Molecule: non-coding RNA, 263 nt
Organism: Pelobates cultripes (western spadefoot toad)
Lineage: Eukaryota; Metazoa; Chordata; Amphibia; Anura; Pelobatidae
Source: the annotation of a GenBank genome assembly
ACAUAGUUACAUAGUUACAUAGCUGAAAAGAGACUUGCGUCCAUCAAGUUCAGCCUUCCUCACAUAUGUUUUUGCUGUUGAUCCAAAAGAAGGCAAAAAACCUAGUCUGAAGAGCUUCCAAUUUUGCAACAAACUAGGAAAAAAUUCCUUCUUGACCCCAAAAUAGCAGUCAGAUGUCUCCUUGGAUCAAGCAGCUAUUACCCCACUAAUUGGAAAUUAUAUCCCUGUAUGUUAUGUUUUUGCAAGUAGUUAUCCAAUUGCAG